GGCGUUUCGGGUAUUUCACCUGGUCAGCGGCGUGAGCGAUUUCGGGCUCAUAACCCGAAGGUCGCGGGUGCAAAUCCCGCCCCCGCUA
RNAcentral lists this transfer RNA (88 nucleotides) under Actinomycetota bacterium. Its description in RNAcentral is "tRNA-Met". The stretch from base 26 to 88 matches the Rfam family "tRNA". From Rfam's summary of the family: Transfer RNA (tRNA) molecules are approximately 80 nucleotides in length. The record is from RNAcentral. Lineage: Bacteria; Bacillati; Actinomycetota.